UAGGGAAUCUUCGGCAAUGGACGAAAGUCUGACCGAGCAACGCCGCGUGAGUGAAGAAGGUUUUCGGAUCGUAAAACUCUGUUGUUAGAGAAGAACAAGGACGUUAGUAACUGAACGUCCCCUGACGGUAUCUAACCAGAAAGCCACGGCUAACUACGUGCCAGCAGCCGCGGUAAUACGUAGGUGGCAAGCGUUGUCCAGAUUUAUUGGGCGUAAAGCGAGCGCAGGCGGUUUCUUAAGUCUGAUGUGAAAGCCCCCGGCUCAACCGGGGAGGGUCAUUGGAAACUGGGAGACUUGAGUGCAGAAGAGGAGAGUGGAAUUCCAUGUGUAGCGGUGAAAUGCGUAGAAAUAUGGAGGAACACCAGUGGCGAAGGCGGCUCUCUGGUCUGUAACUGACGCUGAGGCUCGAAAGCGUGGGGAGCAAACAGG
Molecule: ribosomal RNA, 429 nt
Filed under: Chloroflexota bacterium
Lineage: Bacteria; Bacillati; Chloroflexota
Description: Chloroflexi bacterium partial 16S ribosomal RNA
Rfam family: Bacterial small subunit ribosomal RNA
Source: RNAcentral